AAGGGCUGCCAGCUCUCCCUGGGGAGUGAGUCUGGAGCUGUGAAACCCAGAAGAAGAGAAGUGUCUCCCUGCAGUAAGGUGCACAGCCCCCGGACAGCAGCAAGGUGUCUCCUGCCUUUUCCUGGGAGCUGAUGUAGGUGGUGUCCACCUCGGUGCGUGGCGCUGGUCACUGAGGUCCCCACCCCAAAGCACAUCGCUCUCCCCACACGCUGCAGCAGGUGUUUGGCAUCCUGGGGCUGAAGCAAUUCAUGGUUUCACAUCGAAGGCGGCAGUCAGCUGGAGAAAGAAGGCACCAUCCUAAAUAGCUCCCGUCCAUCCUCCUGCAUCCCCAGCAGGUUAUAACCCCCUCAGACGUGGCAGCAGGCAUUCCUCAGUCAGACUUGCCAGUGAAAGAAGAGUGUGGUGGCUUUCAGAUCAAAUCAUCUUUGCCAGCCAAAGCAGUGUCUUCUUCCCUGCUUCUAAGAGGCAUGAGCUUAAUCAACGAGUCUCGGAGUGGGGUGUAUCUACAGUCGUAGCUGUGAAGAGAGGUGAUUAUUCCUCCCUAAUAAUUCAGUUUCGCAUAAGGAAAUUAUCACACACACAGGGGCGUGCACCUUCCUCUGUUCUGUCAACAUGCGCUGCUAG
This 624-nucleotide long non-coding RNA is filed under the name Anas zonorhyncha (Eastern spot-billed duck). RNAcentral's name for it is "lncRNA (ENSAZOG00000003243.1)". Lineage: Eukaryota; Metazoa; Chordata; Aves; Anseriformes; Anatidae. The record is from RNAcentral.